UCCGAUAUGGUGUAGUGGCUAACAUGAUGCCCUCUCAUCUAUGUGAGAGGUUAGGCAUAGCCCCGAGUUCGAUUCUCGGUUUCGGAA
RNAcentral lists this transfer RNA (87 nucleotides) under Colletotrichum orchidophilum. It matches the Rfam family "tRNA". Rfam says of the family: Transfer RNA (tRNA) molecules are approximately 80 nucleotides in length. Their secondary structure includes four short double-helical elements and three loops (D, anti-codon, and T loops). Lineage: Eukaryota; Fungi; Ascomycota; Sordariomycetes; Glomerellales; Glomerellaceae. The record is from Rfam by way of RNAcentral.